UUGUUGGUAAGGUAAAAGCUUACCAAGGCUUCGAUCAGUAGCUGGUCUGAGAGGACGACCAGCCACACUGGGACUGAGACACGGCCCAGACUCCUACGGGAGGCAGCAGUGGGGAAUUUUGGACAACGGGGGCAACCCUGAUCCAGCCAUGCCGCGUGAGUGAAGAAGGCCUUCGGGUUGUAAAGCUCUUUCAGCCGGAACGAAACGGUUACGGAUAACACCCGUGACUACUGACGGUACCGGAAGAAGAAGCACCGGCUAACUACGUGCCAGCAGCCGCGGUAAUACGUAGGGUGCGAGCGUUAAUCGGAAUUACUGGGCGUAAAGCGUGCGCAGGUGUUUUGUAAGUCAGAUGUGAAAGCCCCGGGCUCAACCUGGGAACUGCGUUUGAAACUACAAGACUAGAGUGUGGCAGAGGGGGGUGGAAUUCCGCGUGUAGCAGUGAAAUGCGUAGAGAUGUGGAGGAACACCGAUGGCGAAGGCAGCCCCCUGGGUCAACACUGACGCUCAGGCACGAAAGCAUGGGGAGCAAACAGGAUUAGAUAGCCUGGUAGUCCAUGCCCUAAACGAUGUCAACUAGUUGUCGGGCCUUUACGGGCUUGGUAACGUAGCUAACGCGUGAAGUUGACCGCCUGGGGAGUACGAUCGCAAGAUUAAAACUCAAAUGAAUUGACGGGGACCCGCACAAGCGGUGGAUUAUGUGGAUUAAUUCGAUGCAACGCGAAAAACCUUACCUACCCUUGACAUGUAUCGAAGCCCGCAGAAAAGCGGGGGUGCCCGAAAGGGAACGAUAACACAGGUGCUGCAUGGCUGUCGUCAGCUCGUGUCGUGAGAUGUUGGGUUAAGUCCCGCAACGAGCGCAACCCUUGUCAUUAAUUGCCAUCAUUUAGUUGGGCACUUUAAUGAGACUGCCGG
RNAcentral lists this ribosomal RNA (915 nucleotides) under uncultured bacterium. RNAcentral describes it as "bacterial SSU rRNA". It matches the Rfam family "Bacterial small subunit ribosomal RNA", at positions 246 to 1155 of the family's 1533-position model. The record is from RNAcentral.